This is a long non-coding RNA of Apis dorsata (giant honeybee), 333 nucleotides long. RefSeq lists it as uncharacterized. The transcript is spliced from 2 exons. The record is from RefSeq and is a predicted model, not a curated record. Lineage: Eukaryota; Metazoa; Arthropoda; Insecta; Hymenoptera; Apidae.
AACUUUGAAACAAAAAAGAGAAAACAAAAUUAAUUUCGUCUGUGGAAUAUAUCCUGGAAUAUAGAAAAGAUAAAACGGUUAUUUUAAUCAUUAAUCUGACAAUCGUCACACGAUUCGAUUUUAAUCGAGGAAGAUGCAUCGCGCCGAGAGAAUCCAUCGAUCACGUUGUCGGUGAUCAUGAACGCGAUCUCGUGAACAAGGCGUCGAUUAUCCCAAAUCUUUCAGACCAAUGAAGUAUCGAUGACCGUUUUGUUACGUCAGCCAAGCACAAGAAGCCUUUUCAAGCAAUUGUAACGCGUACUCUUAACGUGUAAUAAAUAAUAAAAAAAUCAU